This 416-nucleotide ribosomal RNA is filed under the name uncultured eukaryote. Its description in RNAcentral is "bacterial SSU rRNA". It matches the Rfam family "Eukaryotic small subunit ribosomal RNA", at positions 592 to 1018 of the family's 1831-position model. The record is from RNAcentral.
CAAUAGCGUAUAUUAAAGUUGUUGCAGUUAAAAAGCUCGUAGUUGGAUUUCUGGCAGAGUGUCCUCCGUCCAGCAGUUCGUUUGGUUCGGAGCGCUCUACCAUCCUUCUGUUAACCUUUCCGGGAUUUACUUUUCGGACUGGGGCUCAGAUAUUUUACCUUGAGAAAAUUAGAGUGUUUCAGGCAGGCAAUCGCCCGAAUACAUUAGCAUGGAAUAAUGGAAAAGGACUUUGGUUCAUUUGGUUGGCUAUUGAAUCAGAGUAAUGAUAAAUAGGGACAGUUGGGGGCAUUAGUAUUUAAUUGUCAGAGGUGAAAUUCUUGGAUUUAUUAAAGACUAACUUAUGCGAAAGCAUUUGCCAAGGAUGUUUUCAUUAAUCAAGAACGAAAGUUAGGGGAUCAAAGACGAUUAGAUACCAU